GUGACCUGCGGAGGAUCAUUAUUGAAAAUAAACCUGAUGAGUUGAUGCUGGCUCCCUAGGGAGCAUGUGCACGCUUGUCAUCUUUAUAUUCUCCACCUGUGAACCUUUUGUAGACCUGGAUUAUCUUUCUGAAUGCUCUGGCAUUUCAGGUUCGAGGAUUGAUUUUUCUUUCCUUACAUUUUCAGGUCUAUGUUUCUUCAUAUACCCCCAUGCAUGUUUAUAGAAUGUAAUAAGCAGGCCUUUGUGCCNAUAAACUUAUACAACUUUCAGCAACGGAUCUCUUGGCUCUCGCAUCGAUGAAGAACGCAGCGAAAUGCGAUAAGUAAUGUGAAUUGCAGAAUUCAGUGAAUCAUCGAAUCUUUGAACGCACCUUGCGCUCCUUGGUAUUCCGAGGAGCAUGCCUGUUUGAGUGUCAUUAAUAUAUCAACCUCUUCUGCUUUUUUUGGC
RNAcentral lists this unclassified non-coding RNA (447 nucleotides) under uncultured fungus. RNAcentral's name for it is "sequence contains ITS1, 5.8S rRNA gene, ITS2". The stretch from base 262 to 415 matches the Rfam family "5.8S ribosomal RNA". Lineage: Eukaryota; Fungi. The record is from RNAcentral.